UUCAGCGAGAAGGUCACACUGCACAAUGAGAAACACGCGGGGGAGACAGCGGCCCUCGAGGAGGCCAUGAAAGGUCUAAGCCUGAUGCGGCCCCACGGCUCCAGCUCCAGAAAUAUCAGUAUCCGCAACUGGGCCCAAGCGGGGCCAGUACUAUGCCGGGUCCCUGCUCAACGUGAACCAGAUCGGGAGUGGCACCGUGGACCUGCCCUUCCAGACCCCCUUCCAAUCCUUGGGCCUGGACACCAGCCUGACUACCAGGCACCAUGGGCUGGUGAACAGGGUGUACCGGGAAUGCGGCCGACUAGGCUCCCCGCACUGCCUGCACCUGUCAAAGGACAAACACGGACAGCAGGCCAACAGCUGCCCAUACGGCACCGUGUACCUCUUGCCACCCACGGACACCAGCUGGAGAAGGACCAAUUCUGACUCGCCCUGCGCCAGAGCACAAUGACGCCCAUGCAGCCAGAAUCCUUUACUAGUGGGUCCCAGGACGUGCACCAGAAAAAAGUCUUACUGUUAACAGUCCCAGGAAUGGAAGAGACCAUAUCAGAGGCAGACAAAAACCUUUCCAAGCAAGCGUGGGGAAACCAAGAAGACGGGAUCCAGGACCAAGUCCUGCGCGGAAUCAACGAAUCAACAUCUUCCCGUCCGCCGACCAGGAAAACACUACAGCCCUGAUCUCCGCCAUUCACAAUACUGUGGGCUCCCUGCACCGCCUGACCAACAUCCACUUCCCUUCCCCGCUCGACUCCGAGGAGCCCACCUUCCCCGCACUCAGUAGCUCCAGCAGCACCGACAACGUCUCGGCCAACCUGAUGCACCUGGGCAUCAGCGGCGCCGGCCAAGGGGAUGAGUACACUCGGCUCCCCUCCGCAGCACCGUCCAGCCGGCGUCAGCCCCCUGUCCCGAGCACAGAGACGAGGCAUCAGCAGUCAUCGCCCACUCUGUCCCCGCUGUCAUACAUCACUCAGGCCGUGGCCUUGAAUGCCCUGUCUCUGGAGCAGCAGGUACCCUACGCCUUCUUCACCCAGACGGACUCCCAGCAGCCGCUGCCGCAGCCCCAGCCUCCGCCGCCCCCUUAGCCUGGGUCUCAGCAGCCGCCAACCCCACCGCCCCUACAGGCGCCCGUCCGCCUGCCCCCCGGCAGCCCCUGUUGCCCAGCACCAACCUGAAUCGUGGGCCACAGCCGCCCCCGCUCGCGGUCACGGUACCGUCCUCUCUCUUCCAGUCCCCACGAAGAAUCCCGGCCUGCCGUCGAUGGGGAUCGACAUCGCCUCGGCGCCGCCUCUGCAGCAGUAGCGGCACUAGCCCCGGCUCCUCGGCCAACCAGUCUCCCACCUCGCCAGUCUCCAAUCAAGGCUUCUCCCCAGGGAGCUCCCCGCAACACACUUCCACUCUGGGCAGCGUGUUUGGGGACGCGUACUAUGAGCAGCAGAUGGCGUUCAGGCAGGCCAAUGCUCUGUCCCACCAGCUGGAGCAGUUCAACACGAUGGAGAACGCCAUCAGCUCCCUAUACAACAGGGGCUCCACGCUCAACUACUCGCAGGCGGUCAUGAUAGCCCUCACCCACAGCCACGGGAGCCUGCUGAACUCGCAGCAGCUGGGCUACACCAGCCACAGUGGCAUCCCCAACAUCAUCCUCAUAGUGACAGGACAGUCUCCCCCGGCCCCCCAGCCUCUUUAAAGAACUGACCAGCUCUCUGGUCAGGGUCGGCGACCUCAGCUUCGACUCCGACAGCCAGUUUCCCCUGGAUGAACUCAAGAUCGACCCCCUGACCCUGGACGGACAGACCCUGAACGGACUGCACAUGCUCAAUGACCCCGACGUGGUUCUGGCGGACCCAGCCACCAAGAACACCUUCCGAAUGGACCGCC
Molecule: long non-coding RNA, 1875 nt
Filed under: Homo sapiens (human)
Lineage: Eukaryota; Metazoa; Chordata; Mammalia; Primates; Hominidae
Description: non-protein coding lnc-CHAC2-9:1
Source: RNAcentral